CAUACACUCAAAUCCCACCCUACAUCACUCCACUCAUUGAAGUACUUAAGUGGUAUCUAUGAAAAGGCUGAGUGCUCUGCUAAGUGAAGUAUUUCCCUCACUGAGUACUGUAGCCAUUCCUGGUGAGGACGUAUAUCCCAUCAAGGAUGGAUUCUGUCACUGUCCAAGAAGAGGUGGAAAAUAUCCCUCUCUAUGGAGUUGAUGAAAUGGAACCUGAUAAUAGGAUAGAAGUAAACCAUAAUGUGAAUUUACGCCGUACUCGCACUGAUGUCCACAUGUCACAGAGGAAUCAGCAAGGGCAUUCAAAAUGCCAUUCCUUUAGUGGUCAAGAUUACAGGCAACAGAAUACCUUGCCAGCACGAUAUGGA
Molecule: non-coding RNA, 368 nt
Organism: Penaeus vannamei (Pacific white shrimp)
Lineage: Eukaryota; Metazoa; Arthropoda; Malacostraca; Decapoda; Penaeidae
Source: RefSeq, a predicted model, not a curated record